GUUGCAGCUAAUUAGAAGAAAAUGACCUUAGUCAAUGUAGAAAUGUUCCAAAUGAUGGAAAAACAUACCAAAGCUAUGGUGUUACAUAGAAUAGCAAAUAAUGUUGUUAAUAUCCAAAGGAUUUUGCUCAUUUUACAGAUGAGGAAACUGAGGUAAACAAGUGACUUUGCUUAGGGUCUCAUGGCUACUAUGUGUCUGUGGCUGGAUUUGAACUCAAGUCUUCCUGACUCCAGGCCCAGCCUCCAACCACUGCACCAGCUAGUUGCCCCAACACAGGCUUUGCAGAAUGCCUUAUUCAGAACAACCUAGUACAGAGAAUCACACAUCCAAGUUCAGUUCACACUAAGUUUAAGAUUUCAAAGUUCAGCUUCUUUUUCAGAUCAUUGCAAGGAUGUGAGAAACAAAGAGCUUGGCUUGAGGGCUACCUCCAACUGAAAGCCUAUUUUGACAUCCCUCUCCCCCUCCCAUUAUGAGUAUCCUUUGCCUGGAAAUUACUUUGCAUAUAUUGCUUAUUUUGUAUGGUGUGU
Molecule: non-coding RNA, 527 nt
Organism: Phascolarctos cinereus (koala)
Lineage: Eukaryota; Metazoa; Chordata; Mammalia; Diprotodontia; Phascolarctidae
Source: RefSeq, a predicted model, not a curated record